CAGCAUCCGAAGACGAUUCGCUGGACGUGUCCCCGGGCCCCCGCACGGCGCUGUGAGCCGCGGGGUCGUUCGGCUGCCUGCGCACGAAAGCCCCAUAUUGCCCCUGCCUGCCGGUAGCCGCUUUCCCGUAAUUUCCAUUAUCCGAAGCACAUCGCGUGUUCUCGCUGCAGCCACUCCGGGUUCUGGAGAGAGGCUCAUGAGACGUCCAAAUAAGCCCCGGUUAUGGAAUUGGAAACCAUCAUUUCCGUAGGCGUACAGGUACAUAUAUGAAGCCAGCGACGAUUCGAAGCCCAGCAGGAGAAAAACAACGUGCAAAGGCACGAUGGAUAACGCAAAGGAUCGCCGACCUACCGCGGGAGGCCGCCUACAAUUUUAGCCUCUGUCACCACGAGGAUAUACGAGACGAUCUCCUAAACGCUUUCGAUGAGCGCAUGACCUUCAGCGAGGGGCCGUUGCUCGAUUUUCACACCUGCGAGGACGCGUCCGCGGGCCCGCAGCUGUCCGAGGUUCGCCCGGGUGAACGCGGCCCCCGACGGCUACGUGGCAUCCCCAGUCCGUGCGGAGCCGAAAGAUAAAAAUUAAGACACAGAGGGGAGGAGGAGACGGAGGGGUGGGAAGAAAGAUACAGUGCGGAGAAGGGGCAAGGAAGGGGGGAGAGGGAAAAGGAGGGAUAAAAGGGGAGCAGAAAGGAAAGAGAGGGGGGAAAACGGGGUGAGGGAGGCAGGGAGGGGAGGGGGGACGUGAGGAGAAAGAGAAGGGAGGGAUUAAAGUGGGAGAAGAAGGCAGCGGGGAAGGAAGCGAGGAGAGGGAGAGGUGGAGAAGGGGCAAAGAAG
Long non-coding RNA from Gallus gallus (chicken), 833 nucleotides. The record is from Ensembl. NCBI's taxonomy places the organism in Eukaryota, Metazoa, Chordata, Aves, Galliformes, Phasianidae.